RNAcentral lists this ribosomal RNA (435 nucleotides) under uncultured Chryseobacterium sp. RNAcentral describes it as "bacterial SSU rRNA". It matches the Rfam family "Bacterial small subunit ribosomal RNA", at positions 358 to 790 of the family's 1533-position model. The record is from RNAcentral. Lineage: Bacteria; Pseudomonadati; Bacteroidota; Flavobacteriia; Flavobacteriales; Weeksellaceae.
GGAAUAUUGGACAAUGGGUGAGAGCCUGAUCCAGCCAUCCCGCGUGAAGGAUGACGGUCCUAUGGAUUGUAAACUUCUUUUGUAUAGGAAUAAACCUUUCUACGUGUAGAAAGCUGAAGGUACUAUGCGAAUAAGCACCGGCUAACUCCGUGCCAGCAGCCGCGGUAAUACGGAGGGUGCAAGCGUUAUCCGGAUUUAUUGGGUUUAAAGGGUCCGUAGGCGGACCGAUAAGUCAGUGGUGAAAUCUCAUAGCUUAACUAUGAAACUGCCAUUGAUACUGUCGGUCUUGAGUAAAUUAGAGGUAGCUGGAAUAAGUAGUGUAGCGGUGAAAUGCAUAGAUAUUACUUAGAACACCAAUUGCGAAGGCAGGUUACCAUGAUUUAACUGACGCUGAGGGACGAAAGCGUGGGUAGCGAACAGGAUUAGAUACCCUUG